GCGCGAAAGCACGAUGAGGGAUCCCAAGUGCUUGCUCGUAAGAGUAAGCUGUUUUUAUGUCUAAAAAGCAUAGAGAGUAAGGGCUGGGUAAGACGGGUGCCAGCCGCCGCGGUAAUACCUGCAGCUCAAGUGGUGACCGCUAUUAUUGGGCCUAAAACGUUCGUAGCCGGUUUGGUAAAUGCCUGGGUAAAUCGUGUAGCUUAACUAUACGAAUUCCGGGUAGACUGCCAAACUUGAGACCGGGAGAAGCUAGAGGUACUCCUGGGGUAGAGGUGAAAUUCUGUAAUCCUGGGGGGACCACCAGUGGCGAAGGCGUCUAGCUAGAACGGGUUUGACGGUGAGGAACGAAGCCCUGGGGCGCAAACCGGAUUAGAUACCCGGGUAGUCCAGGGUGUAAACGCUGCUUGCUUGAUGUUAGUUGGGCUCCGAGCCCAAUUAGUGUCGGAGAGAAGUUGUUAAGCAAGCUGCCUGGGAAGUACGGCGCGAAAGCGCGCGAAAGCGCGCGAAAGCGCGCGAAAGCA
RNAcentral lists this ribosomal RNA (521 nucleotides) under uncultured euryarchaeote. Its description in RNAcentral is "bacterial SSU rRNA". It matches the Rfam family "Archaeal small subunit ribosomal RNA", at positions 357 to 878 of the family's 1478-position model. Lineage: Archaea; Methanobacteriati; Methanobacteriota. The record is from RNAcentral.